Molecule: ribosomal RNA, 434 nt
Filed under: Escherichia coli
Lineage: Bacteria; Pseudomonadati; Pseudomonadota; Gammaproteobacteria; Enterobacterales; Enterobacteriaceae
Description: bacterial SSU rRNA
Rfam family: Bacterial small subunit ribosomal RNA
Source: RNAcentral
UGUCGUCAGCUCGUGUUGUGAAAUGUUGGGUUAAGUCCCGCAACGAGCGCAACCCUUAUCCUUUGUUGCCAGCGGUCCGGCCGGGAACUCAAAGGAGACUGCCAGUGAUAAACUGGAGGAAGGUGGGGAUGACGUCAAGUCAUCAUGGCCCUUACGACCAGGGCUACACACGUGCUACAAUGGCGCAUACAAAGAGAAGCGACCUCGCGAGAGCAAGCGGACCUCAUAAAGUGCGUCGUAGUCCGGAUUGGAGUCUGCAACUCGACUCCAUGAAGUCGGAAUCGCUAGUAAUCGUGGAUCAGAAUGCCACGGUGAAUACGUUCCCGGGCCUUGUACACACCGCCCGUCACACCAUGGGAGUGGGUUGCAAAAGAAGUAGGUAGCUUAACCUUCGGGAGGGCGCUUACCACUUUGUGAUUCAUGACUGGGGUGAA